GGUUGUGAUGAUUGUUGUUUAGAACCAAGCAGAUUCAAUGUUCGCAGGAAGACAGUUUGUGAAGAACAGGUCUGUCAUCAUGUCAGGCCUAUGUUGUCCCUUGGAUUGCCAAAGAUGCCAGGGACCAUAACCACGAUCCCCUAUUGCUUUAUCAACAGAGCAGAAUUCCAAAGGUAAAGCACACACUGCAGGAUUACAUUGUGCCACAGUAAAUGAGUCAAGGACAGUGGCUGAUAGUUUACCCCCUGCAGUGCAGGCACAAUUAGAGAGUCUGUUAAUUGGAUUGUGUUC
This is a non-coding RNA of Pelobates cultripes (western spadefoot toad), 291 nucleotides long. The record is from the annotation of a GenBank genome assembly. Lineage: Eukaryota; Metazoa; Chordata; Amphibia; Anura; Pelobatidae.